AGUAAAAUGGCUGAGAAUUAGGCGAUAAAUUGUAAAUUUAUUUACGAAAGUGUUUUCUUUUACUA
Molecule: transfer RNA, 65 nt
Filed under: Ochthebius magnannulatus
Lineage: Eukaryota; Metazoa; Arthropoda; Insecta; Coleoptera; Hydraenidae
Also listed under: 1 other name
Description: tRNA-Tyr
Source: RNAcentral